Molecule: ribosomal RNA, 497 nt
Filed under: uncultured bacterium
Lineage: Bacteria
Description: partial 16S ribosomal RNA
Rfam family: Bacterial small subunit ribosomal RNA
Source: RNAcentral
GAUGAACGCUGGCGGCGUGCCUAAUACAUGCAAGUCGAGCGAACAGACGAGGAGCUUGCUCCUCUGACGUUAGCGGCGGACGGGUGAGUAACACGUGGAUAACCUACCUCUAAGACUGGGAUAACUUCGGGAAACCGGAGCUAAUACCGGAUAAUAUAUUGAACCGCAUGGUUCAAUAGUGAAAGACGGUUUUGCUGUCACUUAUAGAUGGAUCCGCGCCGCAUUAGCUAGUUGGUAAGGUAACGGCUUACCAAGGCAACGAUGCGUAGCCGACCUGAGAGGGUGAUCAGCCACACUGGAACUGAGACACGGUCCAGACUCCUACGGGAGGCAGCAGUAGGGAAUCUUCCGCAAUGGGCGAAAGCCUGACGGAGCAACGCCGCGUGAGUGAUGAAGGUCUUCGGAUCGUAAAACUCUGUUAUUAGGGAAGAACAAAUGUGUAAGUAACUAUGCACGUCUUGACGGUACCUAAUCAGAAAGCCACGGCUAACUACGUG